Molecule: ribosomal RNA, 95 nt
Filed under: Aeromonas caviae
Lineage: Bacteria; Pseudomonadati; Pseudomonadota; Gammaproteobacteria; Aeromonadales; Aeromonadaceae
Also listed under: 1 other name
Description: partial 16S ribosomal RNA
Rfam family: Bacterial small subunit ribosomal RNA
Source: RNAcentral
GGAGGGCGUUUACCACGGUGUGAUUCAUGACUGGGGUGAAGUCGUAACAAGGUAACCCUAGGGGAACCUGGGGUUGGAUCACCUCCUUACCUUAA